This 249-nucleotide ribosomal RNA is filed under the name uncultured Actinomycetes bacterium. RNAcentral's name for it is "uncultured actinobacterium partial 16S ribosomal RNA". It matches the Rfam family "Bacterial small subunit ribosomal RNA", at positions 355 to 616 of the family's 1533-position model. The record is from RNAcentral. Lineage: Bacteria; Bacillati; Actinomycetota; Actinomycetes.
UGGGGAAUCUUGCGCAAUGGGCGAAAGCCUGACGCAGCGACGCCGCGUGGGGGACGAAGGCCCUCGGGUUGUAAACCCCUUUCGGCAGGGACGAAGCGAUCGUGACGGUACCUGCAGAAAAAGCACCGGCUAACUACGUGCCAGCAGCCGCGGUAAUACGGAGGGAGCUAGCGUUGUUCGGCAUUACUGGGCGUAAAGAGUACGUAGGCGGUGAUUCAAGUCAGAGGUGAAAGCCUGGAGCUCAACUCC